AUAUUUUCCUUAAAAUGUUCUUCCUAACUUCAGGCCUUAUUCUCAUGUCAGAUAUAACUGUGAUGUUCUGCAAAACAACAAACAUUUAAACACUUUUUUCUUACGGGUGUCAGUAAUCAGAUGGUCAAAUCUGUUUUCUCUCAGUGUAUUACAUCACUCUCGUCAAAGUAGUCCAUAUCAAAAACAAAAAUAUAUCUUGACUCCAUAUAGUGGUUAUUGUGGGAGAAUCCCAGGUAUUUUGAGUAGUAGAAUUAUAAAAAUAUGUGCUAAUAUAAAAUUAAAUAAAAUUGCAAAAUAAAUCUAUCUAUCAAUACUUCAUUACAUAAAGGGAUACCCCAAAAUGAAAAUUUUGUCAUUAAUCACUUACUCACUCACUCACUUCCAAACCCAUAAAAGCUUUGUUCAAUUAUCGCUUCAUAACAUUACAGUUGAAUCACUGAUGGCAGAUGGACUAUUCUGAUGAUGCUUUUCAUACUUUUCUAGACCUUGACAGUGUAACUUACUUGGCAGUCUAUGGGACAGUCACAAGCCUCCCGGUUUUCUUCCAAAAUAUCUUAAAUUGUGUUCCGAAGACGAACGGAGCAACAUGGGGCCUGAUGGAUUGAGAGAGAGAGAGCGAGCGAGCACUGCCUGUUUUCGUUAUCAUUCAUGAAACACCAACACACAAAGGCUUUCAUCAUCUCUCCGGCUGCCAGUGGAGGUGGAGUACUACAGCAAGAAGAAACAGGCUUCCCACAGGUCAUCGGCGUGAGUCAGCAGAGCUGUGAACGAGCGACCUGUUAGAAGAGGCGGAAACAACGCAGCACAAUCACACUAAAAGCAAAGAAGAAAAGAGCUUGAAAUAACAGCCUAGACUGUAAUCUUUCAUUAAGCACUACACCACUCGAACACAAAGAAAAAAUAUAUAUAUAAUCUCUAACAGAAUGGUCCGUGGUACUUCAUAGUUUGUUGUUUUUUUUAAGCUGGGAAACUCACCUCUCCACUCACUUCCUGUAGGGUCAGAAGUGCAGGAUGACGUAACUGACAACAUUCCUACAUAACCUGCUCACAAAUUUGUUUAUGAGAUACACGUUUUCAAAAUACAAAAGCAAUUCGUUUUUUAGCAUCUUUAUGAUCUUACAAUCUGCAUUUGAUGCAGUGUUCACUGGUUAUAACCAAUAAAACGAAUCAAAUCACACCUUUACA
Molecule: long non-coding RNA, 1185 nt
Organism: Cyprinus carpio (common carp)
Lineage: Eukaryota; Metazoa; Chordata; Actinopteri; Cypriniformes; Cyprinidae
Source: Ensembl